UACGUAGGGCGCGAGCGUUGUCCGGAAUUAUUGGGCGUAAAGAGCUCGUAGGCGGCUUGUUGCGUCGACUGUGAAAACCCGCGGCUUAACCGCGGGCUUGCAGUUGAUACGGGCAGGCUAGAGUUCGGUAGGGGAGACUGGAAUUCCUGGUGUAGCGGUGAAAUGCGCAGAUAUCAGGAGGAACACCGGUGGCGAAGGCGGGUCUCUGGGCCGAUACUGACGCUGAGGAGCGAAAGCGUGGGGAGCGAACAGG
Molecule: ribosomal RNA, 253 nt
Filed under: uncultured bacterium
Lineage: Bacteria
Description: partial 16S ribosomal RNA
Rfam family: Bacterial small subunit ribosomal RNA
Source: RNAcentral